Molecule: ribosomal RNA, 654 nt
Filed under: uncultured Microgenomates group bacterium
Lineage: Bacteria
Description: bacterial SSU rRNA
Rfam family: Bacterial small subunit ribosomal RNA
Source: RNAcentral
GCGAAACGGAUUAGAUACCCGUGUAGUCCUAGCCGUAAACGAUGUUCGCUAGCUUUGUCUUGCUUGCAAGGCGAGGUGUAAGCUAACGCGUUAAGCGAACCGCCUGGGGACUACGGCCGCAAGGCUAAAACUCAAAGGAAUUGACGGGGACCCGCACAACCGGUGGAGCGUGUGGUUCAAUUCGAGACAAAACGAAGAACCUCACCAGGGCUUGACAUGUAAUCGUUUAUCUUUUUGGAAACAGAAGGAAAUCCGUAAGGAUGAUUACACAGGUGCUGCAUGGCUGUCGUCAGCUCGUGCCGUGAGGUGUUCCCUUAAGUGGGGAAACGAGCGCAACCCCCGUCCAAUGUUAAAUAUUCAUUGGAGACGGUCCCAGUUUUUGGGAAGGAAGGAGGGGAAGACGUCGAGUCAGCACGGCCCUUACGCCCUGGGCUACACACACACUACAAUGACGAAAAACAACGGGUUGCAACACGGCAACGUGAAGCUAAUCCCUGAAAUUUCGCCUCAGUUCAGAUUGGGGGCUGAAACUCGCCCCCAUGAAGUCGGAAUCGGUAGUAAUCGCAGAUCAGCAAGCUGCGGUGAAUACGUUCUCGGGUCUUGUACACACCGCCCGUCAAGGCAGCAAAGUCGGUAGCUAUCGAAUAUGCAUUU